GACCCUAUGAGCAGCAUUUGAUUAAACAUUUUCUCCGGGAUACUGAGUUAUACAAGCAGGGGGGAAAAAACUUUAAGAAGGCUAUAUAUAUUUGUUUGCAGUCUGCUCAGCUUUUCCAGCGCAAAGAAGCCACAGGCAUCACCAAGCAGUUAAAACAGAAAGUUGCAUAGUUUUCUGCCCAGCUAGGAGAAUAAGUGUCCAUAAUCAGGUUUAACGUUUAUCUAAAUAUGGUCUAUAUCUUAAUCUAUAAUUGGCAAACUUCCUUUUUAGUUUUUGAACCAGUGAAUGUGUUUAAGGUGUCAUCAAUACUUUAAACACCUAACUUUGCAAAAUUUUCAAUCAACCCUGUGAGAUUUCACUGUCACUUGCUUACUAGCGAUAUAAAAGAAACAUAUGAUUAACUCAGCCAAGUUUCAUUAUGGACUUGCUUAAAUACCAAAAAAAUAAUUAAGAGUAGGUAGCUGAAUCUCAGGUCUUGGGUGUUUAUUUUAAAAAUGAGGCGGCUAUUAAAGAUGAUUGUGUAAGCUAGAUUUUAAAGGGGAAUUGACCCUAUUCAAUGAAGUUGUGGCUUGCUGAAUUAUUAUUAGUUUCAUCCUUAUGAAAAUUGGAACUAUGAACACAUUAUUUAGAAUAGGGCAGCUCGUCUGACCCUGAUACGACAGGAACUCAAUACACUAAUCCAGUGUUCGGCAAACUAUGUCUUAUUUUGUAUGAAAUCCAUCUGGUUUUUGGUCCUGUUUUGCAGGACAUUCUCAAGAUUGCCUUCUCUUCAAAGUGAAGGAGAUUUCGAAUGCCAAGGACUCGGAGGAGCAGGAUCUGAUCUGAUGACACUUAUCAGAUAUAUUGAUUCUGUGUAGCAGAAGAACCAAAAAUUGGUUUCUACUUUUUAUUACAAGCUGCACAGUGAUUAGCAACAAAGCUCAUCUACUUACUUUACUUCCAGUUUGUAUUCUGAAGCUUAUAACACCAUCUGUACCCGGGCUACAAAUUUAAAUUUCAUUAAGCUAAUUACAUAUUAUGUGGUUGUUUAAGUGUUUUCUUUGGUCAUCUUUAGAAAAGAAUAGUUGGUGA
Molecule: long non-coding RNA, 1071 nt
Filed under: Daucus carota (carrot)
Lineage: Eukaryota; Viridiplantae; Streptophyta; Magnoliopsida; Apiales; Apiaceae
Description: long non-coding RNA (DCAR_LNC005368)
Source: RNAcentral